UUUCCUUAUAUUAAAAUAUUCACAUCUCAAAGCUAAUAAAACAUACAAAUCAUGGCUCGUUUCCAGUGAUAAUUUGCACUGGUUUGCAGAUGAGAACUUACAAUAUUUUUUUAUGGUUGCUUUUGCAGCUUCUUGGGUGCCAUGGUCGACUUGCUGCACGACAACCUGGAAGGGCUUUUCUUGAAGCAGUUUAGGAAUUGGAGCAUAUUUACUUUUCUGCAUGCGACUGAAUGAAAUUUUGUGGCUUGACCUUCUCUCUACUUGUUAUCAAGUUGAAAAUUUGAGCAUAUCGAGAGGAUUGACUGUUGAUUAAUUUUUGUUAUUCUUGUGCUGUCCCUUGCCAUCUCUGCUUUAGCUGUAGAAGGUUAAUUUCAAUUGCUACUUAUUUAACUUCACCAACCAGAUUAACGUUUUGCUUUUGUUGAUGUAUAGAUUUUUCCCUGCACUCUAGAUUUAGCAGUAGGAACUUAGCAUAAGAGGUCAUUUUCUUGAAAAAUAUUAGACCAGAAGGAUGAGUCCAUAGGCCACGAGAGAGAGUGGAGUUUACGGGAGAAUUGGUUUUACUCUUAGGUGGGAUAUUUAUACAAUAGUUGGUUCGAUUUUAUUCUUUUACUUUUUCUAUUAUUUUUGGAUGGGAUUUUGGCUAAUUCUUCGUAAAAUUGUGAGUCUCCCAACUAGAUUGGUCUUAGCUUAAUAUCCCACUAAUUGGAUUAGCAUUCAACAUGGAUCCUGAUUUAAACUACUUUAAGCAUAUUGUGCUUUGUGGGAUUGCGGAUAAAGAUGUUACAUCUUUGAAGAAAGAGGCAGAUGUAGAGCUUCCUGCUGAAGAAGUGAUACAGGAACAGUUGAUCGCUUGUUUUGUAAGAAUAUUUGGGUACAAUGAUGUCAUUUUGAAAGAUAAGUCAGUAUUAUAAUUUGUUAAGCAAUAAUGUUGAAACAGUCUGAUACAUUAUGUGACAAAUUCUUGUAUAAGUUAACAUUGUUCAUUUAGUGAACUCUGAACAAAUAACAUUCUGGAUGAAUAAGCGAUGAUUAAGAAAGCUCAAAGCAAUUACUGAUUUUAAAUGAGUAUCAAGUUCGAAAUAGGUACAUGUAAGGCAAGCUGUGGACAUAUCAUGUAGGAUCCACUGUUUAUCCUUCUUGGGCACCUUUUGACAUUGAAAGUGAAAGUAUUUCAGUUCUUUGGCAAAGCCUAUGUGUCUAUCCGUUAUUAGCAGUAUGGAUAUCAUCAUCUGGAAAAACACAAUUUACUGAUCAAAGUAUAAUCUGUUGAUUGGUAUUGCGUAUUAAUAAGAUGUUGUCGUGUGCUGGAGCUGAUAGGCUCCAAACUGGAACGAGGGGAGCUUUUGGUAAGCCCCAGGGUGUUUGUGCUCGUGUUGCUAUUGGUCAGGUUCUUCUCUCAGUUCGCUGCAAAGAUGGCAACAGCAACCAUGCCCAAGAGGCUCUGCGCCGUGCUAAGUUCAAGUUCCCUGGUCGACAAAAGAUCAUUGUCAGCAGGAAGUGGUAUGCCGCCCUAACAUUCUAAUUUUCUUUUUAUGUAUCUUUGUACAUUUCCAUUCUGUUUAUUAGUCAUCAGUUUGCACAUUAGUGUAUAGGGUGCUGCAUUACUUCAUUAGUAACUUUAAGAAGGUACAUUUUAAAGCAGAUAUGAAUUUCUGUGUGUUGAUGAUAACUUUAUCCAAACCAAUUCUCGGAUUGUGUUCCAUCCGAGAUUUAUUAAUUACCAAAAAUCCUGGUUGUUUCUUUGAGCUGAAUUCACCCAUUCUUCAUACAGAAAGGCACUAAUCAUGAAUUUGAGUGUUGACAUAUCUACUUUUCUUAGUUUCUAAAGGUGGAGGAAUAAACAUUGUGUGAUUUUAGGUAGACAAGUGGAGAAAGUCAUCCGUUUCAGAAGUUCGUUGAUCAAACAUGUUUGUAUUUCAUCUGUGCUGUCUUUUUAAUUUCAGGGGGUUCACCAAGUUCAGCCGUACUGAUUAUCUGAAAUACAAGUCAGAAAACCGUAUCAUCCCAGAUGGUGUGAAUGCUAAGGUUUGUUUCCUUAUAUUAAAAUAUUCACAUCUCAAAGCUAAUAAAACAUACAAAUCAUGGCUCGUUUCCAGUGAUAAUUUGCACUGGUUUGCAGAUGAGAACUUACAAUAUUUUUUUAUGGUUGCUUUUGCAGCUUCUUGGGUGCCAUGGUCGACUUGCUGCACGACAACCUGGAAGGGCUUUUCUUGAAGCAGUUUAGGAAUUGGAGCAUAUUUACUUUUCUGCAUGCGACUGAAUGAAAUUUUGUGGCUUGACCUUCUCUCUACUUGUUAUCAAGUUGAAAAUUUGAGCAUAUCGAGAGGAUUGACUGUUGAUUAAUUUUUGUUAUUCUUGUGCUGUCCCUUGCCAUCUCUG
This 2382-nucleotide long non-coding RNA is filed under the name Nicotiana benthamiana. RNAcentral's name for it is "long non-coding RNA (NBEN_LNC042076)". The record is from RNAcentral. Lineage: Eukaryota; Viridiplantae; Streptophyta; Magnoliopsida; Solanales; Solanaceae.